AAAUAUUUUACAGUGAAGAUCAUGUAAACACCAGUGGCGGCUAUUUAGAAGUAAGUGAAGAAAAAGUGAAGAAACGCCUGGUAAAAAGUACCUAAACUUAUAUGUAC
Molecule: long non-coding RNA, 107 nt
Organism: Agrilus planipennis (emerald ash borer)
Lineage: Eukaryota; Metazoa; Arthropoda; Insecta; Coleoptera; Buprestidae
Exons: 2
Source: RefSeq, a predicted model, not a curated record